AGUGAACGCUGGCGGUAGGCCUAACACAUGCCAGUCGAACGGCAGCACAGUAAGAGCUUGCUCUUACGGGUGGCGAGUGGCGGACGGGUGAGGAAUACAUCGGAAUCUACUUUUUCGUGGGGGAUGACGUAGGGAAACUUACGCUAAUACCGCAUACGACCUACGGGUGAAAGCAGGGGAUCUUCGGACCUUGCGCGAUUGAAUGAGCCGAUGUCGGAUUAGCUAGUUGGCGGGGUAAAGGCCCACCAAGGCGACGAUCCGUAGCUGGUCUGAGAGGAUGAUCAGCCACACUGGAACUGAGACACGGUCCAGACUCCUACGGGAGGCAGCAGUGGGGAAUAUUGGACAAUGGGCGCAAGCCUGAUUCAGCCAUACCGCGUGGGUGAAGAAGGCCUUCGGGUUGUAAAGCCCUUUUGUUGGGAAAGAAAAGCAGCAGGUUAAUACCCCGCUGUUCUGACGGUACCCAAAGAAUAAGCACCGGCUAACUUCGUG
Molecule: ribosomal RNA, 492 nt
Filed under: uncultured bacterium
Lineage: Bacteria
Description: partial 16S ribosomal RNA
Rfam family: Bacterial small subunit ribosomal RNA
Source: RNAcentral